Molecule: ribosomal RNA, 251 nt
Filed under: uncultured prokaryote
Description: partial 16S rRNA
Rfam family: Bacterial small subunit ribosomal RNA
Source: RNAcentral
ACGGAGGGUGCGAGCGUUAUUCGGAAUAACUGGGCGUAAAGGGCACGUAGGCGGUGUGGUAAGUCGGGUGUGAAAGCCCAUGGCUCAACCGGGGGCCUGCAUUUGAUACUGCCGUGCUUGAGUGAAGUAGAGGUGGGCGGAAUGUCAUGUGUAGCGGUGAAAUGCGUAGAUAUCUGGCAGAACACCAGUGGCGAAGGCAGCUCACUGGACUGAAACUGACGCUGAUGUGCGAAAGCGUGGGGAUCAAACAG